ACAUCGCCUCUUGAACUAAAUAAGAGGUCCAGCCUGCCCAGUGAAAUUAUUCAACGGCCGCGGUAUCCUAACCGUGCGAAGGUAGCGUAAUCACUUGUUCUUUAAAUGAGGACUAGUAUGAAUGGCACCACGAGGGUUCUACUGUCUCCUUUUUUAAAUCAGUGAAACUAAUCUUCCCGUGAAGAAGCGGGAAUUUUUUUAUAAGACGAGAAGACCCUAUGGAGCUUUGAACAAAUGACAUUUGCUUAAUCUAAUAUUUUAUUUUCAAGAAAUAUAGCAUUAUGAUCUUUAGUUUUCGAUUGGGGUGAUCACGGAGAAAAAUUUAACCUCCACGCCGAAAGGGUUUAUUCCCUAAGCAAAAAGCUACAGCUUUAAGCACUAAAAAAUUAACGUAGUUUGAC
RNAcentral lists this ribosomal RNA (401 nucleotides) under Hypsiboas aff. semilineatus AF-2016. RNAcentral describes it as "partial 16S ribosomal RNA". It matches the Rfam family "Bacterial large subunit ribosomal RNA", at positions 1813 to 2373 of the family's 2925-position model. Lineage: Eukaryota; Metazoa; Chordata; Amphibia; Anura; Hylidae. The record is from RNAcentral.